This 75-nucleotide transfer RNA is filed under the name Schistocerca americana (American grasshopper). Its description in RNAcentral is "tRNA-Lys". It matches the Rfam family "tRNA". From Rfam's summary of the family: Transfer RNA (tRNA) molecules are approximately 80 nucleotides in length. The record is from RNAcentral. RNAcentral also lists the same sequence under 2 other names. Lineage: Eukaryota; Metazoa; Arthropoda; Insecta; Orthoptera; Acrididae.
GCCUGCGGUGGCUCAGAUGGAUAGAGCGUCUGCCAUUUAAGCGGGAGAUCCCGGGUUCGAGUCCCGGUCGGGGCA